AUGUGCUUUCUUAACUCACAUGGGAAAGAUAGUAAAUCUGCUCAUAGUUAUGCUGUGAAAUGCCAUGAUAAUUUCAAGGACAAGCCAUGUCAAAUAGAGCAGUUAAUGGUGAAGCAAACCGACGAGGAUAUCAAGAAGAAUAGGUUGCGACUGAGAGUAACAAUUGAUGCACUACGGUGGUUAGCAUUCCAAGCUUGCCCCUUUCAAGGACAUGAUGAAACUCUUGAUUCAACAAACCAUGGCAAUUUUCUUGAAAUGGAUAAAUUGGUAGCUUCUUAUGAUGAGGAAAUUGGUGCAGUUGUAUUGGGUAAUGCUCCUGGGAAUGCAAAGUAUACCUCGCAUCCAAUUCAAACAGAAAUUCUGCACAUAAUUGCUUCCAAUGUGCAAAGGGAAAUUCGUAAAGAAAUUGGUGAUGCUAAGUUUUGCUUGCUUGUUGAUGAGUCAAGAGAUGAAGCAAAAAGGGAGCAAAUGGCAGUGGUUAUUCGUUUUGUUGAUAAACCCGGUUUCACUCAGGAGCGUUUUCUUGAUAUUGUUCAUGUCGCAGAUACAUCCUCGGCUACUCUAAAACAAGAGUUAUCUUCUGUUUUGGCUCAAUAUCAGUUAGAUGUGCACAAUAUCUGUGGACAAGGAUACGAUGGUGCUAGUAACAUGCGUGGGGGGUGGAACGGACUACAAGACAAGUUCAUGGAAGAGUGUCCCUAUGCAUAUUACAUCCAUUGUUUUGCUCAUCAAUUGCAGCUUGCUCUAGUUGCUGCAUCUAAAGAAGUAGCUGAUGUGCACAACUUUUUUGACCAUCUUGCUCUUGCUGUCAAUACUGUUGUGUCUUCUAGUACGAGAAGUGAUGAGCUACAUGCUAAUCAAGUUGCUGAAAUGGAGCGUCUGAUUGAGCUAAACCUACAUUUUUGGUACUUAAAAGCAUUGCUACUGCCAAAGGGUCAGGUAGUUCACCUACAGCACGAGCAAAGGCCUAUGGUGCUGUUAAGCUAA
This 987-nucleotide ribosomal RNA is filed under the name Triticum aestivum (bread wheat). Its description in RNAcentral is "partial small subunit ribosomal RNA". The record is from RNAcentral. Lineage: Eukaryota; Viridiplantae; Streptophyta; Magnoliopsida; Poales; Poaceae.